This is a long non-coding RNA of Serinus canaria (Common canary), 394 nucleotides long. RefSeq lists it as uncharacterized. The transcript is spliced from 2 exons. The record is from RefSeq and is a predicted model, not a curated record. NCBI's taxonomy places the organism in Eukaryota, Metazoa, Chordata, Aves, Passeriformes, Fringillidae.
ACACCUGGGAUGUGCACUCAAGGGCCGGGCCAGCACCGGGAGGGGACUCGCUGGCUGAAGAUCCGCUCCAAAAUGGCCACGGUGAUGGUGAACAGCUUGGGAAGAACCAGGAGAAGGUAAAGAAAUUGAAUUUGGAUUAAAAAGAGCCAGAUCAGUGCUUUCAACAGCGUUGAGAGCGGUCUAUGCUGCGAGGUCCAUGCAGGGCUCAGGGUCCCCUGGAGCACCGGGAAUGAUAAAGAUCAUCUGCUGCAUGGAUCAUCACUGAUCAUUCUCCUGGGUAUUCCACAUAACAUGCUCUUGGAUUUCUAAGGCAUGGGGUAGCACACUUGUGUAACACUGCAACUCAGAAAAGCUGUAACUGCACACUGGAAUAAAGCUCCAGGAGAAGUUUCUA